GGACUACCAGGGUUUCUAAUCCCGUUUGCUCCCCUGGCUUUCGCGCAUCAGCGUCAAUCUCGGUCCAGGAUGCCGCCUUCGCCACCGGUGUUCCUCCAGAUAUCUACGCAUUUCACCGCUACACCUGGAAUUCCGCAUCCCUCUCCCGAAUUCAAGCCAUCCAGUAUCAGACGCAGUUCCCCGGUUGAGCCGAGGGAUUUCACGUCUGACUUAGUUGGCCGCCUACGCGCCCUUUACGCCCAGUAAUUCCGAACAACGCUCGCCCCCUCUGUAUUACCGCGGCUGCUGGCAC
RNAcentral lists this ribosomal RNA (292 nucleotides) under uncultured Acidobacteriota bacterium. Its description in RNAcentral is "uncultured Acidobacteria bacterium partial 16S ribosomal RNA". Lineage: Bacteria; Pseudomonadati; Acidobacteriota. The record is from RNAcentral.